AGAACUUAGCAGAGAUGCUUUGGUGCCUUCGGGAACUCUGAGACAGGUGCUGCAUGGCUGUCGUCAGCUCGUGUUGCGAAAUGUUGGGUUAAGUCCCGCAACGAGCGCAACCCUUAUCCUUUGUUGCCAGCGGUCCGGCCGGGAACUCAAAGGAGACUGCCAGUGAUAAACUGGAGGAAGGUGGGGAUGACGUCAAGUCAUCAUGGCCCUUACGAGUAGGGCUACACACGUGCUACAAUGGCGCAUACAAAGAGAAGCGACCUCGCGAGAGCAAGCGGACCUCAUAAAGUGCGUCGUAGUCCGGAUUGGAGUCUGCAACUCGACUCCAUGAAGUCGGAAUCGCUAGUAAUCGUGGAUCAGAAUGCCACGGUGAAUACGUUCCCGGGCCUUGUACACACCGCCCGUCACACCAUGGGAGUGGGUUGCAAAAGAAGUAGGUAGCUUAACCUUCGGGAGGGCGCUUACCACUUUGUGAUUCAUGACUGGGGUGAAGUCGUAACAAGGUAGGCGUAGUGCU
Molecule: ribosomal RNA, 517 nt
Filed under: uncultured bacterium
Lineage: Bacteria
Description: bacterial SSU rRNA
Rfam family: Bacterial small subunit ribosomal RNA
Source: RNAcentral